Molecule: ribosomal RNA, 253 nt
Filed under: uncultured bacterium
Lineage: Bacteria
Description: partial 16S ribosomal RNA
Rfam family: Bacterial small subunit ribosomal RNA
Source: RNAcentral
UACGAAGGGGGCUAGCGUUGCUCGGAAUCACUGGGCGUAAAGCGCACGUAGGCGGCUUUCUAAGUCAGGGGUGAAAUCCUGGAGCUCAACUCCAGAACUGCCUUUGAUACUGGGAAGCUUGAGUCCGGAAGAGGUGAGUGGAACUCCGAGUGUAGAGGUGAAAUGCGUAGAUAUUGGGAGGAACACCAGUGGCGAAGGCGGCUCACUGGACCGGUACUGACGCUGAUGCGCGAAAGCGUGGGGAGCAAACAGG